This 309-nucleotide ribosomal RNA is filed under the name uncultured bacterium. Its description in RNAcentral is "partial 16S ribosomal RNA". It matches the Rfam family "Bacterial small subunit ribosomal RNA", at positions 504 to 808 of the family's 1533-position model. The record is from RNAcentral.
AGAGACAGCAGUCGCCGGCGGGAAAACAGAGGGUGCGAGCGUUAAUCGGAUUUACUGGGCGUAAAGCGUGCGUAGGCGGCUUUUUAAGUCGGAUGUGAAAUCCCUGAGCUUAACUUAGGAAUUGCAUUCGAUACUGGGAAGCUAGAGUAUGGGAGAGGAUGGUAGAAUUCCAGGUGUAGCGGUGAAAUGCGUAGAGAUCUGGAGGAAUACCGAUGGCGAAGGCAGCCAUCUGGCCUAAUACUGACGCUGAGGUACGAAAGCAUGGGGAGCAAACAGGAUUAGAUACCCCAGUAGUCCCUGUCUCUUAUU